AAAAAAAAAAAAAAAAAAAAAAAAAAAAAAAAAAAAAAAAAAAAAAAAACGACAACAAAAUGCCUGAACCGAGAAAAAGAAAAGAGAGGUUCGUGGUUUCUUAGAAAGAUUGAACUACCUGUCAUGGUUCACAUCUCAUCUAAUAGCCACGUAUGAACCGAUAUUCAAGUUGUUGAAAAAGAGAAAAAGAUCAAACGGUCAGGCGAAAUAAUGAUUGCCAAGGGGCAUUGAAAGAAAUAAAGGAAUAAGUUGC
RNAcentral lists this long non-coding RNA (253 nucleotides) under Lathyrus oleraceus (garden pea). Its description in RNAcentral is "Pisum sativum (pea) long non-coding RNA (PSAT_LNC018251)". The record is from RNAcentral. Lineage: Eukaryota; Viridiplantae; Streptophyta; Magnoliopsida; Fabales; Fabaceae.